UCUAAGCUAGAAGCAUCAGAACACUUAGAAAGGUAGUUCUAGCCUUAAAUAUGACUGGGAGAAGUGUCAAGAAAAAGAAAGCAAUAUAUUCCAUACUACACUAGAACACAGCAAACAUUAACAACAACAGUCUAAACAUAGCUGAGGGCAAUUGAGCAAACUAUACACUAGAUGACAGCAAAUGGACCUAUCACGACCCUACAGGAAGGAAGGCCCUACGGAGGAUGGUGCAGACGGCACAAUACAUCACUGGGGGCGAGCGACCUGCCCUCCAGGACAUCUACACCAGCCGGUGUCUGAGGAAGGCCCAAAAGAUAGUCACCCGAGCCGCGGACUGUUCACUCGGUUACCAUCUGGCAAGAGGUAUCGGAGUAUCGGGUCACAGACAAAAAGGCUCAGAGACAGCUCCUACCACCAGGCCAUCAGACUGCUGGUAGGAGGCCAUCAGACUAAACCUAGCUGUCUCUCUGCACAGACUAUCUGCACCUUUGACCUGCACAGACUAUUUGCAUCGAAGAGACUAUCAGCACCGUAGAAAUUAUUUGCACUGACUACACACACACACACAACCCUUACACACAACCUUACACACAAACACCCAUAAACACACACACACACAGUCAAUGCUGCUAUUCUAUUCUAUAAUAUUGAUUCCACAACACACUUAAUAUACUAC
Oncorhynchus tshawytscha (Chinook salmon) is the source of this 676-nucleotide long non-coding RNA. The record is from Ensembl. Lineage: Eukaryota; Metazoa; Chordata; Actinopteri; Salmoniformes; Salmonidae.